This is an RNA transcript of Dermacentor andersoni, 936 nucleotides long. RefSeq lists it as uncharacterized. NCBI's taxonomy places the organism in Eukaryota, Metazoa, Arthropoda, Arachnida, Ixodida, Ixodidae. The record is from RefSeq and is a predicted model, not a curated record.
UUCGUUUGUGUUUUUACAUCACGCCUGUGUGCGGUUCGUUUUUUCUUCGUAAAUUGUUCUAGCAAAACGUGAUAUUCGUCAUGAACUUGCGAGCGCGAAUAUCCACCAGAUGCGUUCGCGGCACUUCGAAUGAAUAACGACACAUGGAAGGCAAGGUGCUCAUGAUCUGUUGUUGAGGACUACUGGUGCGAUACGGGACAUUCAUGGGCCUAACGGUCCUAAGCGACGCAUCAGCCAGCACAAGAUCCUGCCAACGGAACCAGCUCAACUAUGCGAAUUACCUAGCGCAAGAACUCAGACCAAGACGUGUAAGAAAACGUUGAACAUUCGACCAGUUUGUGACCGCAGCCAAUGAAAUCGCACGAUUCCAGGAGGCGUCCCCAGCCAAGCUUCAGCUCCAGUGACAAUGUUCAGAGGCUGUCCUUUACAUCCGUCAGUGACCGAAGGACCGGUGCCCUACUGCCAGCUCGGCCGAUGGCCGUCUGCGGCCCGAUGCGCCCAUUGCGGAGCCGUUGUCCAGACGCUUACGCAGAGCCGUCCCAGCACCCUGGCGUGGCUCUCCUGCGGUCUGCUCACACUGCUUUGCUUUCCUUACUGCUGCUGUUGCAUACCGCUUGCGCCGCUGUUCGUGCCUGGCUGCCAGCAAGUCACCCACCGGUGCCCCAGUUGUGGAUUUGUGCUGGCAAGUACCGGCCCCUGGUAGUUGGGACGUCGUCACCGUACGGAGGACCUGCCGCUGUACCCGUCGUCUGGCGGUCGCACUUCUGGGCUGCAAUGGCUGCACCUGGGACGCAGGGCACAUUGUUCUUGAAUGCGAUUUGGCUAAGUGGAGAAGAGUGUAACCAGUCGACAUGCAUCGACGCAAAGUGCCAUUGAAACAAAAAAUGUUAAAAGAAAAAGGAGUGCGAAAAAUCCUGUCUCGUUAAGAGCGCACGU